RNAcentral lists this unclassified non-coding RNA (3174 nucleotides) under Leishmania donovani. RNAcentral's name for it is "gene:LdHU3.33.1900(CDS-product:hypothetical_prote in_conserved)". Lineage: Eukaryota; Euglenozoa; Kinetoplastea; Trypanosomatida; Trypanosomatidae. The record is from RNAcentral.
AACUGAAAAGAUCGCACCAUCUGUGCGGUCGACAACUCAAGUCCUGCCAUUGUUCUGCAGGUGUGUGUGCAUAGGGGUGGGUUGUGCACGAGCUAGCUCGCCUCAAAUCGCCCCUCUCAGCCUUGGUGCGAUCUUAGCAGGGAGAAGAGCAAAAAGGGCGGCCACCGGUGCCUCUUAGAAGAUCACAUAGGGAGAAGAAAGGGUUUAACGCUAUGCAGGCAAGCGCCUACACGCCACAAUCCUCUCCUUCCCUCCUUUCUUCCUUCCCUUCAUCUGUAUCGGACGAGACUAUCAAACCUCCAUCACUCUUACCUCAUCUGUUGUCUCGCUCAGAUAUGUCCGAUAGUGGCAGCGUAGCGCGCUAUCCCCUGGUGCGUGUGAGGGGAGGGGCAGCGAUGCUCUUCACCGCCCUGGUCAGCUCUCUUCCGCCGCCGGCGCAGGUAGCGCUUCGCAGAGUCCUUUUGGUCAUCCCCGUCAUGGCCGUGGCAAAGGUGCAGCGGGCUGCCGCAUUGAUGUUUACGAGGCGGGUGCUUCUUCCCCUCCUCACCGACGCCUUCCCAGCAGUCUGUGGCGCCCUCGAAGGAGUCAAGCUUAACUCGUCAUCCGCCACGCUGAUCGCAGCGCUAUCGCGUGCCGUGAUCGCCUACUCUCUCGCGGCGAAGCUGAUGAAGGCGGACCAGGCGGCCUCGCUCGCGUUUACGACGGGCACCGCUGCGUGUCUCUUUAGCGAAGAGGAACACCUUCGUCGCCUCCUAGGCGCUGUGGUGGACGCCGAAGCGUCAUCGCUGCCCUCGGCGCUGCUCAGCGCCCCGCGUCCUGCUCCGACUGCCGCUGCGCCGCGAAUGUGCUCGGCAUUCUUUUCCACUACUACGCCUGUUGCAUUGAAGGCUUACCUGCGCCAUGUGCACGCGCGUCCUAGAGCCUCUCACGUUACCAUUUUCGUGCCUGGGCUACUCACAGCCCCGUGGACCACGCACCUUAUCCCCUUAUUGCGCGACCUCUUUUGCCGCCAGGGCACGACAGUCGUUGGGUACGACAUCUGCGCUGACGCAGAGCACUAUGACGUGGACCUGCGUCACUUGCACGACCGGAUCCGGCAGGAGCGCCGAAGCACAGCAGACUCGUCGGCGUUACCGCCCGCGUCGAGCGCAGCGUCACCAUUCGGUGUGUUGGUCCUCGCCAGCAUUCGCGGCCGCCGCGUUCGCAAUGGUGAUAAGGCGUGCGUAUUCGCCAAGAUGCAUGGAUGGCAGGUCGUGGAGCUGUGUGUGCCAACGUUGCCGUUGGAUGCGGUGCAUGACUUGAACCCGCAACGUCGUCCGCAGUGGGUGAGAGCGCGCCAGGUGCAGUGCGCCACGUCGUCUGUGCGCCCGGAUGUGCGCCUCACCGCCUUCGACGACGCCGGCAUGUACGGCGGGGCGGUCGUGGAGCUGUGUAACGACGACAAUGCCCUUCUGCUGCACAUGAAGAGUCAGUGUCAGCCAGGGCUGGUGGUAAGCAGCGUCGAUGGCACGGCCGGACAGGCAAAGGCGCGCAACUCCCACCGCCCCGCCGCAGCGGUGACGCCGCGCACGCUUCCAUCUUCUGCUGUCAACGCGACGCUUGACGCGGCCUCCGGCACCAGCGAGUUCAUCAGCAAAGUCUGCUGUCCAUGGGCGCGCCGGCUUUGCGCCGCCGCCUGGCGCGAGGCGUGUACGCUGCAUCAGGGCUCGGUUACGGCGCAGGAGGCCGUGGCGGCGCUCUGCCGCUUCCCCCUGCAGACGUUUCCGAAGGUGCCCCUACGCGCGCAAGCGCAGCUACGGCGGCUGUUAUCGCCCCGCAGAGGCAGUGUCACCACGACCGGCGACGACAGCGCGUCUGGUAGCGCAUCGCACCACGUCUCCGCUAACACGCCAGUCGAGCAGCGCACCACCUAUAUCACGACCCCCCUCGCCGCCGUUUCGCUGCUCGCCGCACCACAACCCCACACCGCCUCACCAGUCGGCACCGACAGCGACCGAGGAGGUGAGGGAUAUCUCACGGUGGAGAAGACCACGUCGCCCGCCAGAGCAGCGGCCGCGGCUCUCACGGCGCCGGAGGAAGCGCUCACGAACUGGGCAGUGGAGCGCCGGAUCCGACUGCGAUGGUCGUCGUUGCUCAUGUCGCUAACUUUUGCCGCUGGCGGCGCACCUAGAGUGGCAGGCGACGCUGCCGCGGCCGUCCGCACCUCCGCGGCGUAUCUCUCUCUGUGGUCCUUCGUCGCACAACUGCCGCCGUGGGUAGUGGCUGUCUCGGCCGCGGACGACGGCGAAACCGCGCGUGGCGAACGCCGCAGCAGUUGCUGCGUCGAGGCCUUCGCCACAGCGCUCCUCGUGCGCGUCGCCUCCCCCGCCUCCCCUAGGGCCGUCGCCGAGCUCCUUCGGGACGAAGCUCUAGUUGACGCGGCAGCGGUGCGCCCGCGCGCAUGGGAUUCCUUGGCGACCACACCGAACUCGGCCGGGGAGGAGGCGCUCAAGUUUGAGGAUGCCGUUGUUUUUCCGGGAUGUGACCGAGCAACUCGGUUGAGCGAGGAACUGCUGUACCUCCCGCUGUCACCGGAACUGCCCGUUAGCGUGCGAGCUGCAAUGCUGCGAGUCCUGUGGAACGAGGUUCCGCACGCCGGAGACGCUGCUAGUGCUUCUGUACACUCGAGCUGGCUCGAGCGUAGCAAGGCUACGGGUGCUUUAUCAGCUCACGUGCAGGCAACAGUGAACUCCAUUUACCAAAUGUAUCUUCCUCAAGCGCAACGGGGGCGCGAUGGCAAGGCGCUCUCCUCAGCAACUAGCGCCGGCAACACUCUCCUCAGCGUCAUCGCACGGGGCCACAGCGGCGGCAGCGUUGUGUCAGCGCAGGAUGCAGAGAAAGUUCAGCAGUUCCUGUUCGACGGUGUAACCACCCCCUCCGUAGCGCCGUCGCUGUCGGCAGGUGCGGCCCUCAAGUCUCUCGUGCAAACCCUUACCCCAGCGGUGAUGUCAAACCUUUGAGGGUGGCGAGAGAGAGUCGGGCGGAGCCGGCGUGGUGCGUGGAUGUGCUGCAGCUUUCACACCCUCUUGUCCCACUUGCCCUUAAGUGCUCUGCUCUCCGUAUUCCCUUCUUUGCGUGUGUGUGCGUCUUCGGCGACCGCACAUAUCAGGAAUGAUGUUAGGGGCUCUUCAUGAU